RNAcentral lists this transfer RNA (92 nucleotides) under Dactylosporangium thailandense. RNAcentral describes it as "tRNA-Ser". It matches the Rfam family "tRNA". From Rfam's summary of the family: Transfer RNA (tRNA) molecules are approximately 80 nucleotides in length. RNAcentral also lists the same sequence under 10 other names. Lineage: Bacteria; Bacillati; Actinomycetota; Actinomycetes; Micromonosporales; Micromonosporaceae. The record is from RNAcentral.
GGAGGCUUCGCCUAGUUCGGUCUAUGGCGCCGCACUGCUAAUGCGGUUUGGGUCUUAAAGCCCAUCCCGGGUUCGAAUCCCGGAGCCUCCGC